RNAcentral lists this unclassified non-coding RNA (700 nucleotides) under Hevea brasiliensis (rubber tree). The record is from RNAcentral. Lineage: Eukaryota; Viridiplantae; Streptophyta; Magnoliopsida; Malpighiales; Euphorbiaceae.
CUUUGAUCGAUUCUUGCUCUUGCAAUUCCAUGCCUCACUCGCUCACCAAAUGUCUCCGGCCAGGAUUCCAUCUCUGCUGUCUCCGAAGACGUUGAGAACAAAAGUUACUGGAGAUUUCACCCUCCUCCCUCCCUCGGUGACCAUUUUGAUUUUCUGUUUUCAUUCUCUCUCCUCACUGUAUUUCCGGCUCUAUAAUCUAUCAUUCUCAUCAAACGACGCUGGCCCUCCAAAAUCCUCUCUUUUCCUUGCAAAUGGUUUGUCCUCUCUCUCUCACCAACAGACACUAACCCGCUUGUCCCUCACCAAACCAAUGUCGGCAUUCCCCUCUCACUAAACGAAAGCUAUUUGGACGAUUGAUUCUGUUGAUGGCUAUAUUGAAUUUAGCAGGGAAGAAGAUGGCAGCUGUAAUUGAUGGAUCUGUCCAGCCGGGUCGAAUCCGGAUUCUUAAAGAAGGAUAAGCCAAGCAAGCGGGUCCUGUUGUAUACUGGAUGGUUAGAGAUCAACGGCUAAGAGACAACUGGGCAUUAAUCUACGCCAUUGAUCAGGCUAACAAGGCCAAGGUGCCUGUGCCUGUUGCUUUUAAUUUGUUCGAUCAGUUUUUGGGAGCCAAAGCGAGGCAAUUAGGUUUUAUGUUAAAGGGGUUGCGCCAACUUCAGGAAAAAAAUUGAAGAGACCCUUCAAAUUCCCUUUUUCUUAUUCC